This 71-nucleotide transfer RNA is filed under the name Myotis lucifugus (little brown bat). It matches the Rfam family "tRNA". Rfam says of the family: Transfer RNA (tRNA) molecules are approximately 80 nucleotides in length. Lineage: Eukaryota; Metazoa; Chordata; Mammalia; Chiroptera; Vespertilionidae. The record is from Rfam by way of RNAcentral.
GCCGGUGUGGCUCAGUGGAUAGAGCAUCGGCCUGUGGACUCGAGUCACGGGUUCGAUUCUGGUCAAGGGCA